Molecule: ribosomal RNA, 250 nt
Filed under: uncultured Anaerolineaceae bacterium
Lineage: Bacteria; Bacillati; Chloroflexota; Anaerolineae; Anaerolineales; Anaerolineaceae
Description: partial 16S ribosomal RNA
Rfam family: Bacterial small subunit ribosomal RNA
Source: RNAcentral
CACGUAGGAUCCGAGCGUUAUCCGAAUUUACUGGGCGUAAAGCGCUUGCAGGCGGUCUGAUAAGUUGGAUGUGAAAGCUCCUGGCUCAACUGGGAGAAGUCGUUCAAAACUACCAGACUAGAGGACGGUAGAGGGAGGUGGAAUUCCCGGUGUAGUAGUGAAAUGCGUAGAUAUCGGGAGGAACACCAGAGGCGAAGGCGGCCUCCUGGACCGCACCUGACGCUAAGAAGCGAAAGCUAGGGGAGCGAAC